This 383-nucleotide ribosomal RNA is filed under the name uncultured eukaryote. RNAcentral describes it as "SSU rRNA". It matches the Rfam family "Eukaryotic small subunit ribosomal RNA", at positions 587 to 972 of the family's 1831-position model. The record is from RNAcentral.
AGCUCCAAUAGCGUAUAUUAAAGUUGUUGCAGUUAAAAAGCUCGUAGUUGGAUUUCUGAUACGAUGCGCCUGGCCCGGCUAGCAAUAGUUCGAGUGCCGGUAGCGCGUCUAUCAUCCUUCUUGACGGAUGUGUCAGGGUCAAACCUGGCUGCCGCUGAGAUCUUUUACUUUGAAAAAAUUAGAGUGUUUAAAGCAGGCUUACGCCUUGAAUACAUUAGCAUGGAAUAAUAAUAUAGGACUUGAGUCUUAUUUUGUUGGUUUCUAAGAUUUAAGUAAUGAUUGAUAGGGAUAGUUGGGGGUGCUAGUAUUCAGCGGCCAGAGGUGAAAUUCUUUGAUUCGCUGAAGACUAACUUAUGCGAAAGCAUUCACCAAGGAUGUCUUCU